Long non-coding RNA from Mustela erminea (ermine), 3796 nucleotides. RefSeq lists it as uncharacterized. The record is from RefSeq and is a predicted model, not a curated record. The transcript has 6 exons. NCBI's taxonomy places the organism in Eukaryota, Metazoa, Chordata, Mammalia, Carnivora, Mustelidae.
GGCUGCCGACUCCAGCACGCGGAGCGCGGGUUAGAGGCACCCCAGCGGGCAGGCUGUCCCCAACAUUGCAGGACGUGUUAGCCACAGUGUGGGGCUUGCGGCACGACAGGCGGAGCGAGCCUCAGGCACGAGUCACCUUUUGUAUCGUCCAGCAGGUGGGACGGCGUUUUAAAUUGUGAAGCACAUGGGAUGCUUUUCAAAAUAAUUGUGUUUGGAAUCCCGCAGAGAAAGUUCUAAAGAAGUUGGAGCCAUCUGAAAUACAAACUUGCUCAUUCAGCAAACACUGGCAGAUGAGGAGUCCUUGGGGAACAGAAGGGGAUCUGCAGUGUUGUAUCUCCCAUCCAACCUGGCAUAGCCUUUUACAGCAGUAUACAGACUGAAUCCAAGUGACAACGUCUGCUGCGGCAUUCCUGCUCUAAUCAUCAGGAGCGGAGAAGAUAAGGUGAAGCCAAUAAAAUGUAUGGACAGAAGAACGAUGAAUUAAGGACAACUGAGAAUUUCCGUCCAAUAAACUAAGCUGACUCCAAAAGAGGCAGCUCCUGAACUGGAAGGAAACUCUAAAAAGAUGAAUUUUGCCUCAAAGCAGCGUUUCGAGAAGAAUAAUGAAUUAAGGACGAUUGAGAAUUUCUGUGCAAUAGACUAAGCUGACUCAAGAAAAGGCAGCUUCUGAACUGGAAGGAAACUCUAAAAAGAUGAAUUGUGCCUUAAUGCAGCGUUUCGAGGGCUCCUUGGAAAGACAGAGAUACUCGGGGAAACCAGAGUCAAGUAAAUCUCAUGCAUUUCUGGAAGCAGACCAGUGAAGAAGCAGAAAAUUGCUAGCCUUUCCCUUUUAACUCAGAAGCAACUGAACAAUUUAAAGGAAGAUAAAGCGUGGGGAUGAAAUUAUCAAAUGCCUCGCUAGGUAUCAGUUCAGAAAAUAAGACAAUCUAAUUUCAGGAAAAGUUACCUCUUGAUCAAAAUCCUUACAGAGGUUUGGGCUAUUUACAUUUAUAGAGAAAGCUGGUAAAUAAGCAUUUGUUAAGGUCACCAUCAUAUUCUGCAAAUGUUAUGUGUUACAUAACAUCACAGAGUGGAGACUGGUUAGGACACACGAAGAGCAGAUUAAACAAGUCCUCGAUGCUUCGAGACUGGAUCACUUUCAAGGAGCCAACAUCCGUGCAGACAUGAAGGUUCCCGCAAGCUUGGCCAUCCAGAGGUAGCAGCGCAUAUUUGAACAAGAGAACCUCAAUCUCAAGAUUCAUCCACAAAGAGAUGCCAUCACAGAGAAGGUGUACAUGAAGAAACCUUUGAAGAGAGGGGGUGGGGAAACAGUUUGCUUGGCAGGCAGGGAUGGAGGGAUAAGGGUGCUCAAGCAAAGGCUGUCUAGCCAUCACGUGGAAACGCUAGAUCACAAAAGGAGUCAUGGCGUCGGAUGGAUCACGUUACUAGAGGUCUACAGCUUUCUUCAGGGCUGAGCUUCUCAGAGUAAAAACUUUCAUGGCUCUUCAAGUUGAAAAGAAAAAAGUCAGAUGCUUGCCUCUAAGGAAUAAUUUGGAGUGAGAAUCAUGGGAGGGUCCCUUGUAUACGGCUACUGCCAAGAAGGAAGCUAUAGGUGGAGAUGAGAAGCAGGACAGUUUGAACCUUGGUUGGAGGAUGGGACCUGGUAAACUGUGUUUUUCAGUUAACUGUGCUAUUCUCAGAAGGACCCGGUAAGCUGUGUUUUUCUGUGUCAACUGGAUCAGCUUAGACCUGAAGAAUGCCAGCAAUUUUCAUCUUCCCACAUGGCCAAUCUAUAAUAAUUAGUUUUACUACUUUUUUCACAAGCUAUUACUUUAAUUAUUUUAAUUAGAUUGUUCAUGCACUCAAGUUGUUUACAAGCACUUUCCUUUUCAUAGCGCAUCAAUAAACAGAAGAAGGGAAACUACCAGCUUGGAGGAAGCCAAGUUUUUAUCAGGUAGGCGGUGGCCGAGAGCAUGGAGGUGCUUCUCCUACUCUAAUCUGGGGACCACCCAGCAGGCGGACCUCCUUACAGAGGAGGCGAGUCUGUUCCAUUGGGCGGACUAGGUCACGUGGGCAUCCUCUGUGGUCUCCGCCCCUUCAGUCAAAGCAACACAGAGCAAAUAACCCGUUUUCUCAGUGUUCCUCCGACAACCACCACCGCAGAGUACAUACUACAGGCUAUGGAUGGCUAACAGUAGGCUUUUAUUAAAAUUCCGCAGACUUGGCCUGUCUCAGUUAUUUGGUUUGAGUUCUGGUUCCACCCCUUACCGGUGUGUGACCUUGAGAGAGUAACUUCUCAAAUUCUCGAUUUGCCUCUCUGUCAAAGGAAGGCAAAAGCACCAAACCGGUCGAAUUCUUUUGACUGCUAAAUGAGUUUGCUUUGGGCGGGUGCUCACACCGCGUCAGCAUAGAGCAGUCAUUGGCCCUCAUCCCUUCCCUCUGGCCUUCUUCUUUCUUUUCUCUUCUGCUCUUCCCAUCUCAGCCUGACAAAAUUGAGACUUGGGGCUCCAGACUUCAGGAUUAUUUCUUACUUCAUUACUGUUCUUAAGCCUGUACUUCAUGUAAAUAUAAAAGAGAGAAAGUGAAAUAACGAUUUCCAAGGAAUUACCACAAUUUGAAUAGUCCUAUUGGGACAGCCGAAAGACCUCAAGUUCCUUUUCUUCGGGGUCGUUACCUCCUGCACUCAAAAGUUUUGCGCAGCCUCCCUCUGGAACGUGUGUCCGGCAGCAGCCGGGUCUUCGCACCUCCUGGAAUAGACCAGCAGUGGUGGGGGCGGGAAGGGGGUGUGCAAUGCGGGUGCAAGAAGCUCCUUAGGCUCCACCCACAGCCUCAGAGUAUUGGUCCUUCUGGGGGAGGAGAGAGGGACUGAGGCAGAAGACCCUGCGUGCCAUUAAUUUUUGUGAUCUAAAAUCCUACUUUGAGCUUUUCUUUAGCAAAACCCAGCACUCCAGAAAGCCCUGUUGCUGUACUCCCAGAGCUGUCUCUCUUUUGCUCAUCUGUAAACUUGGAAGAGAAGUCACCAAGGCAGCUCCGCCUUCACCAUAAUCUGUCAAAGUAGGGAACUGGGACUCUUUACAGCAGAUCCCAGGAACCCUAUAUUUUGCCCUAUGCAAUGAGGCUGCUAAAUCCCCACCAGUGAAGCGUAACUUAAAACAAAACAAAACAAAACUGUCUUUAAAUAUUUAAUAGAUUAACAGAAACACAUUUUUUUCUCCAGGAGUUCUUCUAUGGCUAGGAUUUAGAACUAAGAAGGAAAAGAUUUGGUGUAUGUUGAAUUGAGAUGUUGUACUUGACCCCUUUUGUUGUAUUUUUGUUCCAAUUAAAUGUAAUUAUGUACUAUUUUGGUUUAAUUUAAACAACCAAAGGAGGAACUGACCACUCAGGUUUUCAAAAGGAAUCUUUGGGCACCAUCUUGUGACUAUUUAUGGUACAAUAAAACCAAAAGCAGCUCUCUGAAGUUUUAAAAGCGUACUUCUGGAACUCUCUAGUGGCGUAUCAUGGAACUGAGAAAAACAACAGGUAAUGAAUAAUGCUUCUCCUCCCAGAUAUUGUGAAGACUUUGGCUCCUUCUGCUGUUAUAACUUAGUGAUUUGCUGAAGAAUCAGUGCAGUCACACUUUAUUAAUCUCUUUGUGUAAAUUUCAAACACAUACAAGAAAUAACAAUAAAGUCUCAUUUUAAUCUCAAAGAUGGAAAAAAAGGGGAAUCUCUCCAACAUUUUAACAUUUGUUAAGAACCCCCAAAUUUUAAAGCUGGUCAGUCAGGGGUGCCUAGGUGGCUUAGUGGGUUAAGUGGCUGCCUGGGGUUCUGGGAUUGAG